Long non-coding RNA from Cygnus olor (mute swan), 955 nucleotides. RefSeq lists it as uncharacterized. The record is from RefSeq and is a predicted model, not a curated record. Lineage: Eukaryota; Metazoa; Chordata; Aves; Anseriformes; Anatidae. The transcript is spliced from 3 exons.
AUGUGAGAGCACAAAAUCAUAGUAAUCAAGGGGAUAAAGGAAUCAACCAGGAGGUAAAUUUCAGAUAAAAUGCCAAUUCCACUCUAAAAACUUCUGCAUGAUAGAUGUCUUGAUCAUCAUAGAGGAUGAACAGUUAUUUAUUCACUGGAGCACAAGUCUGGAACCAGCCUGCCCAUACAGCAACUGAUCUAAAUGAAGAGGAAAGGGAUCAGCUCUGCUCCCUGCCAGCAAGGUCAUCUGGGACCUGCUCCCAUGUGUCACCCAGAGAAGACAUUUAGCUGCAUUGCCACCAGGUUGACCCUGAGCCCAAACAGCCCACUUUCUGGCAGAUUUGGAUACCGUGGCUCAUCAUAAACAGGACAGUGAAAAACUAUGCUGCAUUGAGUGAACUUUUUGUAGAACAUAAUCUUAAAUAUGAGUGCUUUGGAUCUAACUCAGACAUGGUCUGCUUCUGACACAUAGCAAGUCUAAUUCAUGCCUGCUGCAAAUGGCUUGUGGUACUCAAUCCUGCACCUAGUGUUAAGAUGUUAGAUGACUGCUCUGGAAUACAGGCAAGAAUGAAUUAAGAAUUGCUGACAAGAACAUACUGCUACACUCAACAGUUCUUAGUCAAGUCUAUGGCAAAAUUCCUUUUGGCUUUUAUAUAAAUGGAAUGAAAUCAGUAUUUCUUGUUUUCUGUUGGUGUGUUUUUUGUGGUUUUCUUAAUAGAUUUUAUUUCCUUCACUGACCUUGAGUGACAGCUCUUCCAGUAUUUCCUCAUCUGACCCAGCUUUCAGAGUCCUAAAUUUUCUGCCCAGCACAACAGAAUCUCUUUCAGGAAUCUGAAGGACAAGUGUAAUAUUUCAUGUGUACCUUGUGGAGGAAUGGGGCAGGUGGGAGUAAUUCAUUUGAGAUGAAGAUCAGAAGAAAUGGUAGUAGAUAAAUACCUAAUACAUUUGUCUGGUAGAUUGCUGGU